CAGCAGCCGCGGGAAUACGUAGGGUGCAAGCGUUAAUCGGAAUUACUGGGCGUAAAGCGUGCGCAGGCGGUUUGUUAAGACAGGUGUGAAAUCCCCGGGCUUAACCUGGGAACUGCGCUUGUGACUGCACAGCUAGAGUAUGGCAGAGGGGGGUGGAAUUCCACGUGUAGCAGUGAAAAGCGUAGAGAUGUGGAGGAAUACCGAUGGCGAAGGCAGCCCCCUGGGCCAAUACUGACGCUCAUGCACGAAAGCGUGGGGAGCAAACAGGAUUAGAUACCCCUGUAGUCCCUGUCUCUUAUAA
This 301-nucleotide ribosomal RNA is filed under the name uncultured bacterium. RNAcentral describes it as "partial 16S ribosomal RNA". It matches the Rfam family "Bacterial small subunit ribosomal RNA", at positions 509 to 809 of the family's 1533-position model. The record is from RNAcentral.